CCUACGGGUGGCAGCAGUGGGGAAUAUUGGGCAAUGGGCGCAAGCCUGACCCAGCAACGCCGCGUGAAGGAAGAAGGCUUUCGGGUUGUAAACUUCUUUUCUCAGGGACGAAGAAAGUGACGGUACCUGAGGAAUAAGCCACGGCUAACUACGUGCCAGCAGCCGCGGUAAUACGUAGGUGGCAAGCGUUAUCCGGAUUGAAUGGGUGUAAAGGUCGUGUAGGCGGGGAAGCAAGUCAGAGGUGAAAACCACGGGCUCAACCUGUGGCCUGCAUUUGAAACUGUUUUUCUUUAGUCCUGGAGAGGCAGACGGAAUUCCGAGUGUAGCGGUGAAAUGCGUAGAUAUUAGGAGGAACACCAGUGGCGAAGGCGGUCUGCUGGACAGCAACUGACGCUGAGGCGCGAAAGCGUGGGGAGCAAACAGGAUUAGAUACCCAGUAGUC
This 442-nucleotide ribosomal RNA is filed under the name uncultured bacterium. RNAcentral describes it as "partial 16S ribosomal RNA". It matches the Rfam family "Bacterial small subunit ribosomal RNA", at positions 338 to 795 of the family's 1533-position model. The record is from RNAcentral.